This 445-nucleotide ribosomal RNA is filed under the name uncultured bacterium. RNAcentral describes it as "partial 16S ribosomal RNA". It matches the Rfam family "Bacterial small subunit ribosomal RNA", at positions 354 to 796 of the family's 1533-position model. The record is from RNAcentral.
GUGAGGAAUAUUGCGCAAUGGAGGCAACUCUGACGCAGCCAUGCCGCGUGCAGGAAGAAGGCGCUACGCGUUGUAAACUGCUUUUAACCGGGAAGAAACCCCAGGACGUGUCCUGGGUUGACGGUACCGGAGGAAUAAGCACCGGCUAACUUCGUGCCAGCAGCCGCGGUAAUACGAAGGGUGCAAGCGUUAUACGGAUUCAUUGGGUUUAAAGGGUGCGUAGGCGGAGCGUUAAGUCAGUGGUGAAAUCCUGCAGCUUAACUGUAGACUUGCCAUUGAUACUGGCGCUCUUGAGUGCGCUUGAAGUGGGCGGAAUGUGCCGUGUAGCGGUGAAAUGCUUAGAUAUGGCACAGAACACCAAUUGCGAAGGCAGCUCACUAAGGCGAUACUGACGCUGAGGCACGAAAGCGUGGGGAUCGAACAGGAUUAGAAACCCGAGUAGUCC